ACGCACGCUGGCGGCGUGCUUAACACAUGCAAGUCGAACGGAAAGGCCUGCUUUCCCUUGUGGAUUGCGGGUACUCGAGUGGCGAACGGGUGAGUAACACGUGAGUGAUCUGCCCCCAACUUGGGUAUAAGCCUGGGAAACUGGGUCUAAUUCCCGAUAGGACUGCAGGGUGGUGCCUGUGGUGGAAAACGAUUUUCUAGUGGUUGGGGAUGAGCUCGCGGCCUAUCAGCUUGUUGGUGGGGUAAUGGCCUACCAAGGCGGCGACGGGUAGCCGGCCUGAGAGGGUGGACAGCCACAUUGGGACUGAGAUACGGCCCAGACUCCUACGGGAGGCAGCAGUGGGGAAUAUUGCACAAUGGGCGGAAGCCUGAUGCAGCGACGCCGCGUGGGGGAUGACGGCCUUCGGGUUGUAAACUCCUUUCGACCGCGAGGAAGCCACCUGGUUGGAAGGGUGGUGACGGUAGUGGUAGAAGAAGCACCGGCUAACUACGUG
This 493-nucleotide ribosomal RNA is filed under the name uncultured bacterium. RNAcentral's name for it is "partial 16S ribosomal RNA". It matches the Rfam family "Bacterial small subunit ribosomal RNA", at positions 29 to 507 of the family's 1533-position model. The record is from RNAcentral.